Molecule: ribosomal RNA, 450 nt
Filed under: uncultured bacterium
Lineage: Bacteria
Description: partial 16S ribosomal RNA
Rfam family: Bacterial small subunit ribosomal RNA
Source: RNAcentral
GUGGGGAAUAUUGGACAAUGGGCGAAAGCCUGAUCCAGCCAUGCCGCGUGUGUGAAGAAGGUCUUCGGAUUGUAAAGCACUUUAAGUUGGGAGGAAGGGCAGUAAGUUAAUACCUUGCUGUUUUGACGUUACCGACAGAAUAAGCACCGGCUAACUUCGUGUCAGCAGCCGCGGUAAUACGAAGGGUGCAAGCGUUAAUCGGAAUUACUGGGCGUAAAGCGCGCGUAGGUGGUUUUGUAAGUUGGAGGUGAAAUCCCCGGGCUCAACCUGGGAACUGCCUCCAAAACUGCAUGACUAGAGUACGGUAGAGGGUAGUGGAAUUUCCUGUGUAGCGGUGAAAUGCGUAGAUAUAGGAAGGAACACCAGUGGCGAAGGCGACUACCUGGUCUGAUACUGACACUGAGGUGCGAAAGCGUGGGGAGCAAACAGGAUUAGAAACCCUGGUAGUCC